This 500-nucleotide ribosomal RNA is filed under the name uncultured bacterium. RNAcentral's name for it is "partial 16S ribosomal RNA". It matches the Rfam family "Bacterial small subunit ribosomal RNA", at positions 30 to 523 of the family's 1533-position model. The record is from RNAcentral.
AUUGAACGCUGGCGGCAUGCUUUACACAUGCAAGUCGAACGGUAACAGGGUGCUUGCACCGCUGACGAGUGGCGAACGGGUGAGUAAUGCGUCGGAACGUGCCGAGUAGUGGGGGAUAACGCAGCGAAAGUUGUGCUAAUACCGCAUACGUACUGAGGUAGAAAGUGGGGGACCUUCGGGCCUCACGCUAUUCGAGCAGCCGACGUCUGAUUAGCUAGUAGGUGAGGUAAAGGCUCACCUAGGCGACGAUCAGUAGCGGGUUUGAGAGGAUGAUCCGCCACACUGGGACUGAGACACGGCCCAGACUCCUACGGGAGGCAGCAGUGGGGAAUUUUGGACAAUGGGCGAAAGCCUGAUCCAGCCAUGCCGCGUGUCUGAAGAAGGCCUUCGGGUUGUAAAGGACUUUUGUCAGGGAGGAAAUCCCUAGUGCUAAUAACACUGGGGGAUGACAGUACCUGAAGAAUAAGCACCGGCUAACUACGUGCCAGCCGCCGCAGUAA